Molecule: non-coding RNA, 2022 nt
Organism: Biomphalaria pfeifferi
Lineage: Eukaryota; Metazoa; Mollusca; Gastropoda; Planorbidae
Source: the annotation of a GenBank genome assembly
AGUUGGUUGUUGUGCUGGCCACAUUACACCCUCGUUAACCGUAGGCCAAAGAAACAGAUGACCUAUACAUCAUCUGCCCACAAGGUCUGAAAGGGAACUUUUUAAAUUUUAUUAGCAAGUGAACGUCCCUCGCAUAUUGUUCUACCAAACUUUCUGUUUCAAUUAAAACGUUGGCCUUGAAUGACUUUCUCAUAGAUUUCAAUAGAAACCCUCGCACUGCUUCUCAAGAAUAGAAAUAUGAAAUAUAGUGAUCUAUUCAAUGAACUUGUGAAGUGACAAAUACACGGUUUGGAAUUACCAGAAACUUAAGAUUUGUUUAGUGCCUAGCCGUGUUCUCAUUCCGACUCAAUUAUUGACACGUCAUCAUUUCAACCAGGUCGAAUCAGUAUGUCAGUGUGAGCUGUUUACUAAGUGUCUUAAAACAGGAGGCCGCUAUUUAUUCCAAUCAUGAUAUAUGAUGCCAAAACUGUUUUUGAAAUGCAAUAUUGAAAAUCAAGACACAACACAGUUAAUAGUUAUAAUUGCAUCUAUAAUUAAAUAAGAUUUUAUUCUUACUGUCACCAUAUAUAACCUUCUAUAAUAAUCUGUGAAAGGAAAAUAUCUGGUCAAGAAAGUACAUUCAACAAGUACAGUGACAUUUACUCCAUGUUCAAUGUUCAAAUGGAUUUCAUUCAUGAAACAUUAGUAGGGAAAAAAAAAAAAUUUCACCUCUCCAUUAAUGUUAAAGGAGUUUCUUCUAAAUAGUUUUAUCAAGUUUAUUACAUCUUACUUUUUUCCCUGCCUUAAAACUUAAGAUGUUUCAAUAUUGCUUUCAGUUUGAGAGAAAUGUUGCUAGUCCUGUACAUCAGCAAGAUAUAUAUAAAAAUACAACAACAGAAAAAAUAAUAAGCGUAUAAGAAAUAGUUUUUGACUCAAAAUAUCACACUGAAAAAUGAAUAGAAGAGACACCAGAACUGCAUUAUACAUUACAGCCAGCCAUCAGUGUUUUCUUAGAGUCAUCACUUGGACAGAUUUUGGUUUGGAAUUCUUUUAUUUCAACAUCAGCCUUUAAGAACUAUUUAAUGCACCUUAAUGGCAUAGCUCUGGGCAGAACUGAAUGUCAAGGGUUUGAAUCCAGGAGCAAACCAGAAUUGUUACCUAUGAAGUACAUUGUAACUUGAAAGUUGUAAACAGUUGUAAAUAGUUCAUAUACAAUAAGUAAAUUGUUGGCUUUGUUUGUGAUUUAAACAUUAGGCUUUGUUAAAAUUAGGCUUUGUUUUGUAAUGUAAACAUUGGUUACUGCAGUAACAUGUAAAACUUUUGACAAGUUACAGAUCUAGUGUGUAGUCAAGAUUGAGGUGGUUUGUUUAGAAGUUAGUAAGAAGAGGCCUAUACCUUUGCACAAUGACAUUUAAUGAACAAAGCUUCUUAAAAUUAUGGCCAUAUAUACAUUCAUCCAAUUAAACAUCUGUAUCCAUCACUCACAGAUCUACAAGCAGAAAUAAACAAGUCAAUAAAAAAGGACAAGAAGCCAAUCAUCAGAAGACUAAAUCAAAAGUUAAAUCCAACUUGUCAACAUUUUCUAAUAUGAUCUAGACAAACAUCUACACAAGAAACAAAAACCUCAAUUGUAUGAUACAGGAUUCAGACAUUAAACAUCAAACAAUUUCUUUCUUUACUCAGGGGAAUAAAAUUGUGUAAGACUGAUUGUGUAGCUAGGUUAAGGAGGGAGAGGGAGGUAAGUGAACAACAGAACAUCAGCUUUUGAAAAAAAUUAUAUAAAAGGUUGCAUUAGCUUCCCUUGAUUGGUUUACAGUCCAAGUCUGUAGGUGUUGUAAGUGAAAUAAAGGUUACUAUAUAAAGUAUUGCAGGAAUGUCUUUUCAGUUUUUCUGCCAUAUAUGUGCAUUCCUUGAAACUAUUGAAUUCAGGUACAUCAGAUAUCAAAUAUGUUUUAAAACAGGUGACAGGCAAAGAGAAAAUAUUCUAACAUAAAAAGAAAUGCAGAGAGAAAAAACAACUCUGCAAAAAAAAAAUAAAAAAAU